This is a non-coding RNA of Vicugna pacos (alpaca), 3798 nucleotides long. The record is from RefSeq and is a predicted model, not a curated record. Lineage: Eukaryota; Metazoa; Chordata; Mammalia; Artiodactyla; Camelidae.
GGACGUGUUAGGGGAUGACUCCUGGGUAGAGAGCAGUGCGGCUUUUUUAAAUAGUCCACAGAGAAAGCUUUGGGUAAAUGGUCUUUGCAUGUUAGUUCUGCCCUUCAGGAGCUGCCAAGCACAGCUUCAGCUGUUCUCCAUCUGCCCGGAGGGUCUGGGGAAACCAGAGGAGGGGGCUCCUGAUGGGUCAGCAUCCCUGGGGACCACAGUCAAGAGGAAUGAGAGAGCUCGGUGGUUAGUGAACAGGAGCUGGACACCUGCAGACCAGUGUUACAGGAAUUAGACUCCGGUCAGCAAGACCUGCAGCCAUGGUCGAGGAAUGCCAGGUCCCAGGCCGGGAGCAACCCUCAUCGCAUCAGUGGGGCAGAAUUACUCAAGUUACUCACCGCCUGUGCUGUGCCUGGGGCUGGGCGUGUGCGCUCCCCUCCCUUAGGCCCAUGAUGUUGGAGAGAUGGGCAGGUGACAACUCACCACCGGGAAGAAAACAUUCUCACGGUCUGCCAAUCACUGAAGCCUCAGAACUUUAUUUCUCUCAUCAAAGUCUCCUUCUGUCCGCACUGAGUCGGGCAGAGAGGAAGCUUUCAGAAUCUUCGGAGGGGAGCAUCUGUCAGAAGAGCAAAUUUUUCUCUUGCUAAAACUGACACUGUCCCAUUUUAGGCAAUCGAAAUUCUCUCUUUUUACCACAUUCUAAGUCGCUUAGGAGUCCCUUCUUGUGAGGAGGUGAGAAAAACCCUCCCCUUCGGAUAUUUGCAUAUUAAGUUUUAAAAAAAAUUUAGUAUUUAUUUAUUUUAAUACAAAGCUUCGGCAUUAGCAAUUUUUUGGAAAAAAUAAAGUGUACAAAAAUAUCAUAUUAAGUUUUAAUUUAACAAAUGCUCAUGCAGCACUAGUCUGCAGGCACUAUUGCAGGACUUCAUAACUAUUAGCUGAUUCUAACCUUCAAGAUGACUCUUUGAGGCAGGUAGCAUUAUCCCAUUUUAUAGAUAAGAAAAACCGAGGCGCAGGGUGGUAAUUGUCCAAGGCCCACAGCUAGUAUCACAGAGGCGAGCGUCUCCUAGCUUGGCUCCAGAAUCUGGGUCAGAUCCUGAGGCUGUGUUAUCUCAGUUUAAGUCCUGCAACUUUCAUUUAGGUCUGCAACCACCCGCAAGGUAGCUCUCACUCCCAUUUCCUCAGAGGACCCUGCGGCUCCAAGACGUUAACUUUGCUCAAGGUCACACAGACUUAAGUGACAGGGCUGCAGUGGGCAUUUGCUUUUGUCUGACCCCAAAGGGACAGCAGGCUGAGCUAACUGCUCCAUCCACGGAGGAAUGAUGUUCUACCUUGAGAGGCGUCGACACCAAGGGCGCUUCCCUCACAGCUCCUGUGGAUGGUCAGGAGCUCCCACGACUCAAAUUCUCCUUCUUUCUCUUUUUCAUUUUCUUUCUUUAUCCCCACUUCUCACAGUUGGUUUGGAACCUGUAGUUGAAUGUUGGAUGGUGGUACUGACGACCAAAGGCGUCUUUGUCUUGUCAUUCACACUGUUUUCCAAGGACGUUGGUGAUGUACUGCUGGCUCCUUGGGGGAAUAGGCAGAGCCCUGCAGGAGGAGGAAGAGGAUGGUGGUGCUGACAGUGGCUCUGCCUCUUGCUUGCAGGGGAACUUGGACAGGUUACGUAACUUGUCCAAGCUUCAGUGUUGAUGUCGAGUUGGACAAGAUUUAGGGCUGGUUGAUUCGAUUUUUUAAUUUAGUAUUUUUUAAGCUGCAGAAUAUUUAAAUUAUAAGGAAUCUUAGAAGUACCUCCAAAUACUCCAGAUACCUCCAAAAUGGUAUUAUGGGGGCCAUGAAGGGCUCUGCAGAGCUCAAGACUGGAAAUCACUGGAUCAGGUGAUACCAGACUUUGCAUGACAAUGUGAACUGGGGUAUCAGUUUCCUAGAACAGCAGUAAUAAAUUACCAUAAAUUUGGUGGCUUAAAAUGACAGAAAUAUAUUCUUUUAUAGCUCUGGAGACCAGAAGUUCAAAAUCAAAGUGUUGGCAGAAUUGUAGUCAGUCCAUGGGCUCUAGGGCAGACUCCUUCCUGGCCUCUUCCUAAACUUCUGGGGGCUCUGGCCAUCCUUGGCUUUCCCUGGUUUGGGACUUUAUCACUCCAGUCUCUGCUUCUGUCUUCACAUGGCCUCCUCCUCUGUGUUCUGUGUCUUCUGUCUCUUACAAAGGACACUUACCAUUGGAUUUCGAAUCCACCUGGAUAAUCCAGGAUGUCCUCAACUCAGGAUCCUUAACUUACAUCUGCAAAGACCCAAAUAAGGUUAUGCUCAGAGGUUCCAGGCAGUUAGGACAUGAACAUAUCUUUUUAGAGACCACCAUUCAACCCACUACAAUCAGUGAUGACUUGUAAGCAUCUACCAUGUGCUAAGCAUCCCAGGGAUACAGAGAUAAUCAAGACAAAAAUGCGACUCCCUGAGAACCUCUAGGCUUGUUUGACAAUUUCUACUUAAUUUAAGGCAUUUGCAUUGAUGCUUUCUUCCCUUCCUCCCUCCCUUCCCUUUCUUCCUUCCUUCCUUCCUUCCGUCCUUCCUUUUAAAGAGGAACUUAUGGAUAUAUAAUUUACAAACAGUAACCUUUGCCCUGCAUUGGUAUACAGCUGGGGAAGCAGCCUUAGGGAGGUAAAAUGCCUGCCUCCAGCGUACACAGAGAGGAGGAGGCAGCGGCCGGGAUUUGAACCUAUGCUCUCUCUUACCAGGGCUUGCGUCAGUCUCCACAGUCUCUAAGCUUCCUCUGGGCACCUCCAAUUCCUAGUAUAUCAAGUCAGGAGGCUGACAGAUGCUUUCUAGAAACCCUUAGAGCACUGCCCUUGGAAACUCCCAUCAUGAAGGACAGGGGAACACUCCUUAUUCAAAGCAACCCUUCAGUGCGAGGAGACUUCCUGACAUGGAAAUCUGUAUGCCUCCUAUAAGCAUCACCUGUUUGUGUCUGUAGGCCCCGGGAAGUGGAUUUACAGCUUAGGAUGUCUCAUUUCAAUUGAACUAAUCCUCACAAAAUGGACAAGUGAUGUAAAUGAUUCCCGUGAAGAAACUGCAAGCUGCAGAGAGGACUAAUGCUGCUGCCUGAGGGCACAGCAGAAUAGCUGACUCCGUCCCUCCCCAACUCCUAGUGCUCGCUGCUUCUCAGCUAAUGGCUGGAUAAAAAUAAUGGCAGUCUGAUUGCAUCAAUCACAGAGUUGGUCAAAAGACUUAAAAUAUUAUGAAGAGACCAUAUUUGAAAUAUGGUCUCUCGUCCACUGUCCUUAAUAAUGACUCUCUUUGAGUGAUCACUGUACGUUGACACAGCUAAUGAAAGCGUGAAGCCACAGCAAUUAGGAAGACAUUUAGAAACUUUUUUCAACUGGUUAAAGUCAUGAUAUAUUUAACCCAGCCCCUUACAAAUAUUGAUUAAAUUUGAUUAAUUUUAAAUUUAUUACUUCAAAGUGAAAGGUCAUAAUCUAUUGGUCAAACACUUAUUCCUCUUGCUAUGAUGAAAUGGCUGGAGAAAUAUCUGAACACUUCAUAGUGACAUCUUAACAUGGACUCCUUGGUCAUUAAAUAUUGUUGGAAGAUGCAUAGAACUUGUUGCUGAAGAGUUGAAGACAACUUAAAUAAUUCAGUGUGAGAGGUCUGCCAUACAAUUACUGGAAAGUCUAGAAGACUCCAACAUAAUUCAGCUUAUAUUAUUUCUAGACUCUUCAUUUCUGUAAUGAAUUACAUUGGAGAACUUUUUCCUGUGAGCUCUUAAAGAAAAGAUGUACCAGAAAAAAAAAUUCUCUAUAGUAAAUGAGUUUCUAAACAAAA